This 486-nucleotide ribosomal RNA is filed under the name uncultured bacterium. Its description in RNAcentral is "partial 16S ribosomal RNA". It matches the Rfam family "Bacterial small subunit ribosomal RNA", at positions 28 to 523 of the family's 1533-position model. The record is from RNAcentral.
AAUGAACGUUGGCGGCGUGGAUUAGGCAUGCAAGUCGAGCGAGAACCCUCCGCAAGGAGGGGGACAGCGGCGAAAGGGAGAGUAACGCGUGGAUUAUUUGCCCCCGGGACCGGGAUAGCCGCGGGAAACUGCGGGUAAUACCGGAUGACGUCUCCGGACCAAAUGGUGUGAUUCCGCCAGGGGAUAAGUCCGCGUCCUAUUAGCUAGUUGGUGGGGUAAUGGCGUACCAAGGCAAUGAUGGGUACUGGGUGUGAGAGCACGACCCAGCUCACUGGGACUGAGACACUGCCCAGACACCUACGGGUGGCUGCAGUCGAGGAUCUUCGGCAAUGGGCGCAAGCCUGACCGAGCGACGCCGCGUGUGGGAUGAGGGCCUUAGGGUUGUAAACCGCUGUCAGUGGGGAGGAAAUGUCUAGGGGUUCUCCCCUAGAUUUGACCUAUCCGCAGAGGAAGUCAGGGCUAAGUUCGUGCCAGCCGCCGCCGUAA